GAUGAACGCUGGCGGCGUGCCUAAUACAUGCAAGUCGAGCGAACAGACGAGGAGCUUGCUCCUCUGACGUUAGCGGCGGACGGGUGAGUAACACGUGGAUAACCUACCUAUAAGACUGGGAUAACUUCGGGAAACCGGAGCUAAUACCGGAUAAUAUAUUCAACCGCAUGGUUCAAUAGUUAAAGACGGUUUUGCUGUCACUUAUAGAUGGAUCCGCGCCGCAUUAGCUAGUUGGUAAGGUAACGGCUUACCAAGGCGACGAUGCGUAGCUGACCUGAGAGGAUGGCGAGGCACACGGGAACUGUGAACCGGGCACGCCUCCGACGGGAGGCAGCAGUGGGGAAUAUGGCAAAAGGGGCGCAAGCCUGUUGAAGCCAUGCAGGGUGUAUGAAAAAGGCCUUCGGUUUCUAAAGUACUUUUAGCGGGGAGGAAGGGAGUAAAGUUAAUAACUUUGCUCAUUGACGUGGCCCGCAGAAGAAGCACCGGCUAACUCCGUG
RNAcentral lists this ribosomal RNA (497 nucleotides) under uncultured bacterium. RNAcentral's name for it is "partial 16S ribosomal RNA". It matches the Rfam family "Bacterial small subunit ribosomal RNA", at positions 28 to 507 of the family's 1533-position model. The record is from RNAcentral.